GGCGGUGUAGCCAAGUGGUAAGGCAAGGGCCUGCAAAGCCCCGAUCGGCGGUUCGAAUCCGCCCGCCGCCUCCA
This 74-nucleotide transfer RNA is filed under the name Gemmatimonadota bacterium. RNAcentral's name for it is "Gemmatimonadetes bacterium tRNA-Cys". It matches the Rfam family "tRNA". From Rfam's summary of the family: Transfer RNA (tRNA) molecules are approximately 80 nucleotides in length. Their secondary structure includes four short double-helical elements and three loops (D, anti-codon, and T loops). Lineage: Bacteria; Pseudomonadati; Gemmatimonadota. RNAcentral also lists the same sequence under 1 other name. The record is from RNAcentral.